Molecule: unclassified non-coding RNA, 268 nt
Filed under: Hevea brasiliensis (rubber tree)
Lineage: Eukaryota; Viridiplantae; Streptophyta; Magnoliopsida; Malpighiales; Euphorbiaceae
Source: RNAcentral
AUGUGUUCAGGAAAGUUUGCCGACCUAAAGUACAAAAUAUUAAGUUAAGGAACAUCCACAAGGUGUGAGAAAAUGAUUCCCAAACAAUAAGAAAGAAAGGGGAGAGCUAAGGAAGACCUUAGGCGCCAAUGAGUUUCAAAAUGCAGUAAAAGCAUAUGAAGUAAGUUUACAGCCUUAAAUAAACCAAUAUACAAAUAAGGGAACUGGCAUGUAGAUAAAAUGACUUGACUUGAUCUUUGUUGACAUGCAAAUUUAUUAAGCUGCUUAA